UACGGAGGGUGCAAGCGUUAAUCGGAAUCACUGGGCGUAAAGCGCGCGUAGGCGGUUCGAUAAGUCAGAUGUGAAAGCCCCGGGCUCAACCUGGGAAUUGCAUUUGAUACUGUCGGGCUAGAGUGUGGUAGAGGGAGGUGGAAUUCCGCGUGUAGCGGUGAAAUGCGUAGAUAUGCGGAGGAACACCAGCGGCGAAGGCGACCUCCUGGACCAACACUGACGCUGAGGUGCGAAAGCGUGGGGAGCAAACAGG
RNAcentral lists this unclassified non-coding RNA (253 nucleotides) under uncultured Gammaproteobacteria bacterium. Its description in RNAcentral is "contains 16S-23S intergenic spacer region". It matches the Rfam family "Bacterial small subunit ribosomal RNA", at positions 524 to 776 of the family's 1533-position model. The record is from RNAcentral. Lineage: Bacteria; Pseudomonadati; Pseudomonadota; Gammaproteobacteria.